RNAcentral lists this ribosomal RNA (508 nucleotides) under uncultured Glomus. RNAcentral describes it as "SSU rRNA". It matches the Rfam family "Eukaryotic small subunit ribosomal RNA", at positions 569 to 1078 of the family's 1831-position model. The record is from RNAcentral. Lineage: Eukaryota; Fungi; Glomeromycota; Glomeromycetes; Glomerales; Glomeraceae.
AGCAGCCGCGGUAAUUCCAGCUCCAAUAGCGUAUAUUAAAGUUGUUGCAGUUAAAAAGCUCGUAGUUGAAUUUCGGGGUCAGUAGGUUGGUCGUGCCACUGGUAUGUACUGGUCUCACUGAUUCCUCCUUCCUGAUGAGCUGUAAUGCCAUUAAUUUGGUGUUGCAGGGAAUCUGGACUGUUACUUUGAAAAAAUUAGAGUGUUUAAAGCAGGCUAACGCUUGAAUACAUUAGCAUGGAAUAAUGAAAUAGGACGUUCGAUCCUAUUUUGUUGGUUUCUAGGAUUGACGUAAUGAUUAAUAGGGAUAGUUGGGGGCAUUAGUAUUCAAUUGUCAGAGGUGAAAUUCUUGGAUUUAUUGAAGACUAACUACUGCGAAAGCAUUUGCCAAGGAUGUUUUCAUUAAUCAAGAACGAAAGUUAGGGGAUCGAAGACGAUCAGAUACCGUCGUAGUCUUAACCAUAAACUAUGCCGACUAGGGAUCGGAUGAUGUUAAUUUUUUAAUGACUCA